RNAcentral lists this ribosomal RNA (301 nucleotides) under uncultured bacterium. RNAcentral's name for it is "partial 16S ribosomal RNA". It matches the Rfam family "Bacterial small subunit ribosomal RNA", at positions 509 to 807 of the family's 1533-position model. The record is from RNAcentral.
CAGUCGCCGCGGGAACACGUAGGGUGCAAGCGUUAAUCGGAAUUACUGGGCGUAAAACGUGCGCAGGCGGUUAUAUAAGUCAGAUGUGAAAUCCCCGGGCUCAACCUGGGAACUGCAUUUGAGACUGUAUGGCUAGAGUGUGUCAGAGGGGGGUAGAAUUCCACGUGUAGCAGUGAAAUGCGUAGAUAUGCGGAGGAACACCGAUGGCGAAGGCAGCCCCCUGGGCCAACACUGACGCUCAUGCACGAAAGCGUGGGGAGCAAACAGGAUUAGAUACCCCUGUAGUCCCUGUCUCUUAUAC